UUGCCUGCAGUCCUUUAGGAAGUCUAAGGCACUGAACCCGGUUCUCCCAAGUCCCAGGCAAGCACCUUAACCACUGGGCAUCGUCUCUCUUUCUGGAAGAGCACCUGCUUAAAUCACAAGCUAUGCCUGACCCCAGAUACCGGAAGGCUUUUCAUGGUGCUGGUAGCAGCAUUGCUGCAUUACUACCACCGUACAUCAGAGUAUCCUGAUACCACAGCUUUAGAAUAGGUUGCAGCUUUUCUCAUAUUUCUGUAUGUUGUUGUCCUUUUUGCUUUUGGGCUGGUUCCCCACCCAGUGGCGUUCCAGAUCUGGAGUGAUUUUGGAGUGAGCAAUUUUAAGCUUGUGUUAUAAGACUUUGGGUGUUGAUUGAUUUGGUGGUGUUCCUGUGAGAGGCUAAAAAGGAGACAUGAUUGCCCUGUGGGCUGCCCAGGAGGUGGCUUUUUCACUUUGCAUAUUUGUUUUGCAUUUUAAUACCAGUGGGUUUUCAACUGGAAGUGUAACAGCUGGAUGUCAUGGGGACUUGAAGGAAGGAACUUAAAGGCUCAGAACUUGAGCAGAAACACUGUUCUCCCUCACUUGAAGCUAUAGAAAAAUUGUGCACUGGUGCAGAGCGAGAUGCACAACAUACACGGAGCAGUGGGUCAUGGAAACAAUGAAAUGCUGAUGCUCUGUACUGCUGAGUGGUGUCAGAAGAUGGUCUUUGCAGUGGAAGCUCUGCAAAAAGAAACCUACCCUUCAAAGCGUGGGCACACGUAGCAUAUACUUCUGUCACUGCAUCUUGUCACUGUACUUUAAACAGAAGAUUAAAAUAAGUCAGAGCAAAUGGAUUAUAAGGGGCUGAAGUGGAUACAUAUGCACAGGAAUUGCAGCAUUCGCAUCAAUCACGUAACCUGGGAAUACCUCCAGUUCUUUCCCACGCAAUAACAAUGUCACCCGCAGUCGGUGCCCAUGCCAGCUCUACGUGGGGAUGAUGUGUUGUUCUGAACCCUCGGUCUCCAGUUGUUCUGAAAGAGUAAGCUGUAUAGAAAAUGCCGAGGGCUGUGUCUGAGCCACUCACUUCUGAGUUGUGUGACCAAUGCAAAUUGAACUCAAAUCUCCCCGACGAUUCCCCCAGGAUGGAGAGAAUUGGGGAUGGAGCGGCAGAAUGUAGUUAGGUCAUGUUUUGGGCCUCUUCCACCACCCACUUUUGUUUGCACUGCCUGCCACAAAGCGGUGAGUCAGGAAAAGGAUGCAGUGGGUUGGUCAUGGGAGAAUUGCAUCAGGCAUAUUAGAGAAAAGGGUGUUGAUGUGGUAAAACAAGCCUUUGCUAUGUCUAGUUCUCUGGUGGUGUCAUGCCCAUGGAUGCUGUAUUAGUGGUGUAAACCAAGGUUAAAGCUUUCCACUGCAGCCUGAACAUGUACCCGAGCCAGGCCGAGCAGUCACAGCUGUCUGGCUGUCUUGUAGUCCCUGACCCACCACACCACACGUAAGUGCAGUGAAGAAAUCAGCCAGUUUGGGAUGUCCAGUUUAACAUGGAACUUUUGCACUCUCGAACUUGGAAGCAGGUCAGCCUUUUUCUUUCAAAAUGGACCUGGUGGCGGGUGCCUCUUAUACAACUGGAAAUCCAGAUGCUACUGCUUGUCAACAAUGCAAUAUCCACCUGGAUUUUCAUGGUGAGAAGGUCAUUUUCCUGCACAUCUGAAUCGCGUAUUCUGCUGUUGUUCAUGCUGCAUAACCGGCACGCCCACGCUUUGAAUUUUUGUGGCCUAC
Long non-coding RNA from Gavialis gangeticus (Gharial), 1749 nucleotides. RefSeq lists it as uncharacterized. The record is from RefSeq and is a predicted model, not a curated record. The transcript has 3 exons. Lineage: Eukaryota; Metazoa; Chordata; Crocodylia; Gavialidae.